Molecule: long non-coding RNA, 481 nt
Filed under: Ovis aries (sheep)
Lineage: Eukaryota; Metazoa; Chordata; Mammalia; Artiodactyla; Bovidae
Description: lncRNA (ENSOARG00000026183.1)
Source: RNAcentral
AUGAGACAGGUUGGAAGAAGAAAAUGGAAAACUCCUUGGAGAGAAACCCUCUGGAUCCCCAAGUCCAGGAUGGGCUCGCAGCCGAGUGGUUCUCCUCUGGCUUUGACCAUGGCCCUUGCUGGUCCAACUGAACUGCUUCAAUUGAAGCCAAAGAGCUACAAAACUGACUACCAUCCAGCAGGAUCCCAUCAUACAGGGGGGGACUUCAUUUCUUAUCUAAGUGUCCUUGACAGCUGAAAUAACAGAACAAUAUUUUAACAUGCUUUACCUGGAUAGGCCCAUUUGCCAAGGACAUUCUAAAAAUAUACUGAUGGGAUUUGAAAAAGAAAUCUCCUACUGAUUCUAAAGUUCUCUGCAAGUGCUACCUUUUAAAUUUAUGUCAACAGAAAUGGCUAGAGUUUAACAUGUCCAUUCAUAGUAUAGGAAACAUUCAGCUACAAAGGUUACCAGCUUACAUUUCCAGCAUACAGCUAUGAUUAUA